CCUACGGGAGGCAGCAGUGGGGAAUUUUGGACAAUGGGCGCAAGCCUGAUCCAGCAAUGCCGCGUGAGUGAAGAAGGCCUUCGGGUUGUAAAGCUCUUUUGUCAGGGAAGAAAAGGGAUUGGCUAAUAUCUGGUCCUCAUGACGGUACCUGAAGAAUAAGCACCGGCUAACUACGUGCCAGCAGCCGCGGUAAUACGUAGGGUGCAAGCGUUAAUCGGAAUUACUGGGCGUAAAGCGUGCGCAGGCGGUUUUGUAAGACUGUCGUGAAAUCCCCGGGCUUAACCUGGGAAUGGCGAUGGUGACUGCAAGGCUAGAGUUUGGCAGAGGGGGGUAGAAUUCCACGUGUAGCAGUGAAAUGCGUAGAUAUGUGGAGGAACACCGAUGGCGAAGGCAGCCCCCUGGGUCAAAACUGACGCUCAUGCACGAAAGCGUGGGGAGCAAACAGGAUUAGAUACCCUGGUAGUCCACGCCCUAAACGAUGUCUACUAGUUGUCGGGUCUUAAUUGACUUGGUAACGCAGCUAACGCGUGAAGUGACCGCCUGGGGAGUACGGUCGCAAGAUUAAAACCUCAAAGGAUUGACGGCUGAGAGNGCGAGACGACGACGAGGGAGGAGG
This 616-nucleotide ribosomal RNA is filed under the name uncultured bacterium. Its description in RNAcentral is "bacterial SSU rRNA". It matches the Rfam family "Bacterial small subunit ribosomal RNA", at positions 338 to 948 of the family's 1533-position model. The record is from RNAcentral.